RNAcentral lists this long non-coding RNA (1774 nucleotides) under Xyrichtys novacula (pearly razorfish). Lineage: Eukaryota; Metazoa; Chordata; Actinopteri; Labriformes; Labridae. The record is from RNAcentral.
GGUUGCGGUGAGGUGAGCAGCUACUUACAUGGUGGUUGAUGUGUUUUUUUUGUUUUGUUUUGCUUUUGUUUGUUUAUUUUUUGUGAUGAAAAUAGUUUAAAAUUUUCGAACAAAAUGAUUUAGAAAGAUUUCUUUUUUUUUAAUUCUGCAUUUAGUUUCUAGGUGUGCCAGCUGCCAUUGUGGGUGGCGGUGGAAAUCCCUGGAAUCUCUGAAAGGCUCAUUAAUUUUAUGUUUUGAGGAUAUCAUGGUGAAGAGUUUUGCAAAGAUCUGCAUAAUUAGAGCUGAGCUGACAUAGGGGUGGAUGCUCUGUACCUGUUUGUCAAGGGGCUUUACUUCCAUCUACAGGGCAGAUCUACAGUCCUCCAGUGUAAAGCAAUAACAUUCAUAACAAAAACUUGGAAAAAGAAAGUGACGAGAAUCAUUUGUGACCUGAUCUAUCUCACAACUCCAGGAUAUCUUUUUUAAAUGGUGGUUCUAACUCUACAUACACAAGCUUGCAAUGGCAGUCUGGUUUGUGGGACCAUUCUUAAGCCUUUAAAGUGGUCCAUGAUUCACCUUUUGGCUCUCAGUAGUUUCAUACUCCAUUAGGCAAGUAAAUGGACCUAUCUUAUUUCUGGCUGCAUCUACCUGUGUGUUACAGAGCCCAGCCAAAGCCUUGAAACUCUAACAGAAUCAUUUCAUGUAAAAGUGUUCCCUUUUGAAUCGUCAGCGACAUUUUCUACUGUAGGCAGUAAACUGUAAAAAGACGUAGUGUCUCUAAAUGCUGGUACAAUGUAAAAGUCUAAUCACAAAUCAUUUUUAACAGUCUUUUUGCUGUGCACAGCAUAAAAAAACAGACAUGACUCUGUAGUGUAAACCACCGCAUGGGCUUCAUAUCACUUCAAAGUUUACAGAUCUGGGAUUGCACCAUUAAAGCUGAGGUUUUGGAGCAACAUUUGCUGCCUUCCACACAUAAGCCUGCAGUGCAGACUUAUCACCCAUUGAAAACAUCUAGAGCAUCAUGACAGAAACUGUUACGCAGCAGACAUCCCAAACUGAGCAACAGCAGGACAGCAUUUCACUUUCAAGUCUCCAUAACCUACUGUCUUCAGUUUCCAAAAGUUCACAGUGUUGUUAGAAAAAAGUGUUAGUAAUCUCAGAGCAAUUGUCUAUUGCCAUACUGUCUCUCAACACAAUAAAAAAAGUCAAGAAUAAAUGUUUCUAGGGUGCCUGAUCUAUCACCUUGUGACAGAGUUGAGGUCUUCAAAUAACACAGUUAUUAUUAAUAGGAAUACCAAUAAUGGCUGCAUGAAAACAUGACUAAGGCAGGGAGUCUGUCACCCAGCAGAGCAGAGGACACACCUCGUCCUUAACUGUGACCAUAAGGACUAAAGUGUGCUGACUUUUAAGAGAGGAAGGGAAGGGCUUAUGAAUACAUCCAUAAAACAUGUUUUGUUCACCUCACACGGCCUGUCUUUUCUGCACACUGACUUUGUCCCUCUUUUAUCCCCAACCUGACAAAAUUCUAUUAAAUCAGGGGAUAUAACAUUCAUGCACUCAAGAUAAUACUGUGAAGAAAAAAAAAAAGAUCUACAGGGCUUUCCAUCGCCUCCGAUAUCAGCCACAGACCAGCUUUAAGGUUGGAGCUAGGGUUAGGGUUAGGUGUGGGGUUGGAGCUAGGGUUAGGGUUAGGGUUAGGGUUGGAGUUAGGGUUAGUGUUGGAGCUAGGGUUAGGGUUGGGCUUGGAGCUAGGAUUUUUCUGAGUGCAAUGAAGCAACUCCCGAGUCUCUAGGAC